GGACUAAAUAUUCCUGGGACUGUGAAGAUGCUCCUCACAGUUUUACAGGCUGGACAUUGCCUCUAUCCAAAGGAAAAGGGAAUGGUUUGUGACAGGGAAGUAAGUUGCUUCAUCCUUCCCCUGAUUCUGAAUAUGUUCAGAGGGAUUUUGUGCAGAGCAGAUCAUGUGUUCUAACUUAUAACUUCUCUUUGUAGAAAGCUGUUAGACAUGAAGAGAAAGUUUAAAUGUGUAAAGGUUGGGACAAUAUUGUACAUUCAUUUCUUUAAUGGAUAAGUUGCAAGUGAGCAUGAAUAAAUAAUUUUAUUUUCAGCUUUUAAGUCAAAUAACGAGAUAGAUUAAACAAAUAUAGUUUUGAAAUAUUUUAAGUCUUCUGCCUGGAGAUACCUCCAUGUUAAUGCAGGUCAUCAGUGCUUUUUGUGAAACCAGAACCCAAUCGUGGUAUUUUUUGAUUUAUACACAGAAUGCUCUCCACAAAUGCUCUCCACAACUCUUAGAUGUUAUUGCUCCUCCCUGAAUGUCUGUGCUUCUGUCUGCGUUUUAUAAUACCCCUGGCCUGAGAAGCAGUAAAUAGCUUGACAUCUGCUAUAUGAGUCUUAAUCUAUGGUUUAAAUUUCAGCGAAGAUGAUAUCAGACACUCAUUAUAAUGUAUUCUCUUUCAGUUUAACUGUUGUUCCCUGGUUGAGAUGUGGCUCAGAAGGGUCAGUCUUCCUAACCAUGCAUUUCAUGGUCACUAUAGCAUGUUAAUAUAGCAGCAGCUUUGGGACUUUUUGUGCUUCUCCAGGCUGCCUUUGAGCUUUUCCAGCUGCAGCAUCUGCCUCCCUGCCUUCUUUGGAUGUUGCCUUGUUAAUUCAGUUUUCUUGAAAGUGUAUUUAGAACUGACAUUUGUGCCUUUCAAGGCUUUUCUUGUUUGUUUCCUAUCAGAUCAUAAAGUUUGAAUAUUUCAUAUUUUAAUCUCCAUUUGAAAUAAAAUGUCCUCCCUCUAAGUUAUCCUUCACAGAUCUGCUUUGGUAGAUAAUUUUCACCCCGACUCACCCUUGUCCUCCCUCCCUUUCCUAUGGCCUCACUGCUAUGAAAGUCCAGCUUCACCCUUGCUGUGAUCCAGCUUUUGCCUCCACUUUCCUCAAGUACCAUCCACUUUCAUUUCCUUUUCUUCCCUCACUUUUGAAGGAAUUUUCUCCACUCUUAUUUUUAUCUUUUUCUCUCCACUGAGACUGACAGCAAUCACAACUUACUCUAAUCGCAGUUUAAAGGUUUCUCCCCUGCCUUCUGUCUCCUUGACUUAUCUUCUACAAACCACACUCAUAUUUCACUGUGAGAUUUUCCCUUUGUUGUGCUUGUAUGGGUGUCUUUUUAAUUCUUCAGGAGCAUAUUCCUCCAGAGCUUGCUUUGGUCUGUAUGAAAACUCUUCAGGCUUUCAUCUUCUCUGCCUCUUCCUUCCUCUGUACAUGUUCCUCGGUAUCUUGCUCAGCCCUAUAGAUUCUCUGUGGCAAUAGUUUCUUGGCUAUUUUGUUGCCUUUGUACAUAUUGUUUUUGUACUGCCUCCAAAAUUUAAUCAAGAAAGUUCAACCAAUAGGAAGAGCAGAAUUAUUUUCCAGCCACUUACUUAUUCUUGCUCUGUCUUUUACUGUGAACAAUAAUGCUUUCCUUCAGGGUAGUUCUCCAUGCAAACUGCCUCCAUCUUCACCUCCUUUCUUGCUUUUUUCCUUUUUCUUUGAAUCAUAUAAUAACUCAGUCUGGAAGGGACCUGCUGAUGUCAUUUAGUCCAACCUCCUGCUCAAAAAAGAGCAAACUUCAAAGUUACAUCUUUAUUAUAACCAUUCUACUGCUAUUUCUGAAAUGACCUGAUUUCCAGUUUUCUUACUCCAUCUCUGCUAUUUACUGGGAUCUCUAUCAAUUUUAUUUCUCCUUUUAGCUCACUGACUAGAAAACCAAGAACAUAAAGCAGGUGUGUGGAAGCAUCUUUCUUGCAUCUGCUUUACGUGUUCAACACUGCUUCUGCUGUUUGUGCCCAGUUUGUGCUUCUAGACUCUCCAUUUUUCCCAAGUGGCUGUUUCUGUCUGGCCCCAAGCCCUUCCCAGCCUGCAGCCUUACAGCCCUUCUCCACUUACUUGUCUCCCUCUUGUUGUCAUAGGUUCCUGUCUUUGCCUGCUUUGCCACUUCCUAAGCAGACAUGGCCUCACCUUUGGGUCUCUCCCAGCUUUUUUAGGGUGAGGCUAAAGCAAUGUGUGUAAGAAUCUGCACGAAUCAUCCUGCUUCUCUUGUGGUCUCUCAUCUUCACAUUCUGUUCUUUCAGUGUCAUUUGCUGAGUGUUUGCUGCCUCAAAAUGUACACUCUUUGAGUCAAUUUCUUCUUUAUUCCAAUAUUUUCUAUCUUGCUAGAAAUGAUCACACUUAACAAACAUUAUGGUACACUUUAUUAUGGCUUAGCAGUGUCUCAUAGGCAAAUGCUGGGCUAAACCAAGUUUCAUUUAAAAACUAUAAAAUCUGUAAUUACAUAAUGCCAUAGAAUCAUAGAGCUGUUUGGGUUGGAAGGGACCUUAAGGAUCAUCUAGUUCCAUUCUCCCUGCCAUGGGCAGGGUCACCUUCCGCUAGACCAGGUCGCUCCAAGCCCUGUCCAACCUGACCUUGAACACUACCAUGAUUUGGAAAGAUCUACCCUGAAUCUCUGCUAUCUCUUAUCCUCCAUCAUAUUUUGGUAACUUAUUUUUCCACUGUUUCCUUAGUUGCCAUUUGAACUCUCCGGAUUUAGACUGCAGCUGUACAAAAACAUCUGCAUUCAAAAUAAUAAGCUUCAGUAGUAAGGUUGUAAAUUGGGCUAGAAUAAAAUCUGUUGUGCAUUUUCACUGUGACUACAUUCUGCUCUUUUUACUCAGCUUGAAUCCUACCAUCCACUCACAUUUUCUGUUGUGCUUUGUUUUAAAAGAUAUUGGUGAAGACUGCAAAAAAUCCAGAAUGUGCUUAUGAUCGUAGUUACUGCUAA
This is a long non-coding RNA of Strigops habroptila (Kakapo), 2979 nucleotides long. The record is from Ensembl. NCBI's taxonomy places the organism in Eukaryota, Metazoa, Chordata, Aves, Psittaciformes, Psittacidae.